This 440-nucleotide ribosomal RNA is filed under the name uncultured bacterium. Its description in RNAcentral is "partial 16S ribosomal RNA". It matches the Rfam family "Bacterial small subunit ribosomal RNA", at positions 338 to 795 of the family's 1533-position model. The record is from RNAcentral.
CCUACGGGUAGCAUCAUUUGUGAAUAUUGCACAAUUGUUUAAACCCUGAUUCAGCGACGCCUCGUGAAGGACGAAGUAUUUCGGUACGUACACUUCUAUCAGCAGGGAAGAAAAUGACGGUACCUGACCAAGAAGCCCCGGCUAACUACGUGCCAGCAGCCGCGGUAAUACGUAGGGGGCAAGCGUUAUCCGGAUUUACUGGGGGUAAAGGGAGCGUAGACGGCCAUGCAAGUCUGAUGUGAAAACCCGGGGCUCAACCCCGGGACUGCAUUGGAAACUGUGCGGCUGGAGUGUCGGAGAGGCAAGUGGAAUUCCUAGUGUAGCGGUGAAAUGCGUAGAUAUUAGGAGGAACACCAGUGGCGAAGGCGGCUUGCUGGACGACGACUGACGUUGAGGCUCGAAAGCGUGGGGAGCAAACAGGAUUAGAUACCCUGGUAGUC